UACGUAGGGUGCGAGCGUUAAUCGGAAUUACUGGGCGUAAAGCGUGCGCAGGCGGUUUUGUAAGCCAGAUGUGAAAGCCCCGGGCUUAACCUGGGAAUGGCAUUUGGGACUGCAAGGCUUGAGUGCGGCAGAGGAGACUGGAAUUCCUGGUGUAGCAGUGAAAUGCUUAGAUAUGUCAUAGAACACCGAUCGCGAAGGCAGUCCGCCAAACCAUUACUGACACUGAAACACGAAAGUGCGGGGAUCAAACAGG
Molecule: ribosomal RNA, 253 nt
Filed under: uncultured bacterium
Lineage: Bacteria
Description: partial 16S ribosomal RNA
Rfam family: Bacterial small subunit ribosomal RNA
Source: RNAcentral